AGAGUUUGAUCCUGGCUCAGAUUGAACGCUGGCGGCAUGCUUUACACAUGCAAGUCGAACGGCAGCACGGGUGCUUGCACCUGGUGGCGAGUGGCGAACGGGUGAGUAAUGCACCGGAACGUACCCAGUAAUGGGGGAUAACACAUCGAAAGAUGUGCUAAUACCGCAUACGCCCUGAGGGGGAAAGCGGGGGAUCGUAAGACCUCGCGUUAUUGGAGCGGCCGAUGCCGGAUUAGCUAGUUGGUGAGGUAAGAGCUCACCAAGGCGACGAUCCGUAGCUGGUCUGAGAGGACGACCAGCCACACUGGGACUGAGACACGGCCCAGACUCCUACGGGAGGCAGCAGUGGGGAAUUUUGGACAAUGGGCGCAAGCCUGAUCCAGCCAUGCCGCGUGAGUGAAGAAGGCCUUCGGGUUGUAAAACUCUUUCGCAAGGAAAGAAAACUUAUCU
Molecule: ribosomal RNA, 450 nt
Filed under: uncultured bacterium
Lineage: Bacteria
Description: bacterial SSU rRNA
Rfam family: Bacterial small subunit ribosomal RNA
Source: RNAcentral